GACUUGACAUCUCCUGAAUUACUCUUAAUCGAGGAAGUCCCUUCGGGGACAGGAAGACAGGUGGUGCAUGGUUGUCGUCAGCUCGUGUCGUGAGAUGUUGGGUUAAGUCCCGCAACGAGCGCAACCCUUAUUGUUAGUUGCUACUAUUAAGUUAAGCACUCUAACGAGACUGCCGCGGUUAACGUGGAGGAAGGUGGGGAUGACGUCAAAUCAUCAUGCCCCUUAUGUCUAGGGCUACACACGUGCUACAAUGGCUGGUACAACGAGCAGCAAACCCGCGAGGGGGAGCAAAACUUGAAAGCCAGUCCCAGUUCGGAUUGUAGGCUGAAACUCGCCUACAUGAAGUUGGAGUUGCUAGUAAUCGCGAAUCAGCAUGUCGCGGUGAAUACGUUCCCGGGUCUUGUACACACCGCCCGUCACACCAUGAGAGCCGGUAACACCCGAAGCCCGUGAGGUAACCGUAAGGAGCCAGCGGUCGAAGGUGGGAUUGGUGAUUGGGGGGAAGUCGUAACAAGGUAGCCGUAGGAGAACCUGCGGCUGGAUCACCUCCUUUCUAGGGA
This 560-nucleotide ribosomal RNA is filed under the name Clostridium botulinum C. RNAcentral describes it as "bacterial SSU rRNA". It matches the Rfam family "Bacterial small subunit ribosomal RNA", at positions 978 to 1533 of the family's 1533-position model. The record is from RNAcentral. Lineage: Bacteria; Bacillati; Bacillota; Clostridia; Eubacteriales; Clostridiaceae.